UACGAAGGGGGCUAGCGUUGCUCGGAAUGACUGGGCGUAAAGGGCGCGUAGGCGGCUUAUACAGUCAGGCGUGAAAUUCCUGGGCUCAACCUGGGGACUGCGUCUGAUACGUAUGGGCUUGAGUGUGAAAGAGGGUCGUGGAAUUUCCAGUGUAGAGGUGAAAUUCGUAGAUAUUGGAAAGAACACCGGUGGCGAAGGCGGCGACCUGGUUCAUUACUGACGCUGAGGCGCGAAAGCGUGGGGAGCAAACAGGGAUUAGAUACCCUGGUAGUCCACGCUGUAAACGAUGUGUGCUGGAUGUUGGGGUGCUUAGCACUUCAGUGUCGUAGCUAACGCGGUAAGCACACCGCCUGGGGAGUACGGCCGCAAGGUUGAAACUCA
RNAcentral lists this ribosomal RNA (381 nucleotides) under uncultured bacterium. Its description in RNAcentral is "bacterial SSU rRNA". It matches the Rfam family "Bacterial small subunit ribosomal RNA", at positions 524 to 903 of the family's 1533-position model. The record is from RNAcentral.